Molecule: ribosomal RNA, 446 nt
Filed under: uncultured bacterium
Lineage: Bacteria
Description: bacterial SSU rRNA
Rfam family: Bacterial small subunit ribosomal RNA
Source: RNAcentral
CCAGACUCCUACGGGAGGCAGCAGUGGGGAAUAUUGCACAAUGGGGGAAACCCUGAUGCAGCGACGCCGCGUGAGUGAAGAAGUAUUUCGGUAUGUAAAGCUCUAUCAGCAGGGAAGAAAAUGACGGUACCUGACUAAGAAGCCCCGGCUAACUACGUGCCAGCAGCCGCGGUAAUACGUAGGGGGCAAGCGUUAUCCGGAUUUACUGGGUGUAAAGGGAGCGUAGACGGCAUGGCAAGUCAGAUGUGAAAGCCCGGGGCUCAACCCCGGGACUGCAUUUGAAACUGUCAGGCUGGGGUGCAGGAGAGGUAAGUGGAAUUCCUAGUGUAGCGGUGAAAUGCGUAGAUAUUAGGAGGAACACCAGUGGCGAAGGCGGCCUGCUGGACCGCGACUGACGUUGAGGCUCGAAAGCGUGGGGAGCAAACAGGAUUAGAUACCCUCGUACA